UGUCCUGGGGACAACUUUCAAAGUGCGGCCUGGACUUUGAGCCUCUUUGGCCUAGGUUACCCGAAAAGGGAAGUUUCCCUUUAAACAGCAGCGCUCUUAUGAACGCAGUUUUGGUGUCAUAACUGCUAUUUACACCCCUGCCUGCAUCCCUGGGUGUUGAGCCCUGGUGUCAGGUUUACCUUCAGGUGCUCAGCACCUGCGGAGGCCUCAGUGCCAUGCUAGGAGCUAUUCCUUCAUCCCCCGAGGGACAUUACUGAGCACCUACGCUCUGCUGGACGUUGGAAUUCGACGUAGAAGGAUGGUCCCUGUGUUCAGAGAGCUCAGAGUCCAGGCCCAUCUCUGAAGUGAGCAGAGGAAACUCGCGUACAAGAUUCAGAAUCUGAAGGGCCUGCAAGCUGAAGGGCUAUUGCUCACUGUCUGAAGGAUCCCAUUGCCAAAAAUGGAAGUGCUGUUUGGAGGGCUGUUUUUGCCGUGUCCCUUGGACUUAAAUGGAACUGAAUUCUCUUGCAAAGAUGGAAAGGAGAGGAGAAGAGGAGGGGGUGCCUGGGCUGGGAGCUGGCUCUGCUAAUCUAUGCACUGGAGGUCCAAGUUCAAAAAUGCUUGCAGGAAAGCUUCAGUUCCAUUUUUUUUUUUUUCCCCAUACACAAUGAAGCCGUUGUAUGUCCAGAAGCUGGGAGAAGACAGCUGGAUUUCUAUGGCUCCACGGCCAGCCUCGUUUUUAUUCCUUUUUGAUUCUCCUCUUUUGGAGACACCCCACAGGACACAUCGGUCUGGAGAAGAAAAUACUAGUCAGUCUCAUGUGGUAACGUCUAGAAAACAAGUACAUCCUGACCAGGAGUGAUCAGCCCUCAAGUAGCAUGAAGCCUCAGUGAGUAUGUGAAUCAUGACUUUCAGUAAAACAAGGAACAUUCAAGACCUGACCUUCACCUUGACAUUAGUCCUGCCUCUGAUGACCAUUUUAAGUGGGAAGUUCCUGGACUGCUGGGUCCCCUGGCCGUGUUAGUUUCAUCUUGUAAACUACCCCGUGCAGGAAUGUGUUGAAUAAAUGCCCAUCUGAUUUCAAAAGUC
This is a long non-coding RNA of Phacochoerus africanus (Common warthog), 1068 nucleotides long. RefSeq lists it as uncharacterized. NCBI's taxonomy places the organism in Eukaryota, Metazoa, Chordata, Mammalia, Artiodactyla, Suidae. The transcript is spliced from 2 exons. The record is from RefSeq and is a predicted model, not a curated record.